This 180-nucleotide ribosomal RNA is filed under the name uncultured bacterium. Its description in RNAcentral is "partial 16S ribosomal RNA". It matches the Rfam family "Bacterial small subunit ribosomal RNA", at positions 333 to 508 of the family's 1533-position model. The record is from RNAcentral.
AGACUCCUACGGGAGGCAGCAGUGAGGAAUAUUGGUCAAUGGGCGAGAGCCUGAACCAGCCAAGUAGCGUGCAGGAUGACGGCCCUAUGGGUUGUAAAACUGCUUUUAUAAGGGGAAUAAAGUGGGGCUCGUGAGCUCCUUUGCAUGUACCUUAUGAAUAAGGACCGGCUAAUUCCGUGC